Pogoniulus pusillus (Red-fronted tinkerbird) is the source of this 1032-nucleotide long non-coding RNA. RefSeq lists it as uncharacterized. The transcript has 6 exons. The record is from RefSeq and is a predicted model, not a curated record. Lineage: Eukaryota; Metazoa; Chordata; Aves; Piciformes; Lybiidae.
UUAGUCGAUGCGUUUUUAUCUCGGGACACAAGCGAGGCUUCUCUCGUGAAAGGAGCACGGAAAAGCCUUUUCCUGCGGGAUCGUGUUCGGCUGCUGGUGGAAUCGGAGACCCUGUUGUCAGCAGUGGGAUUUAGCCGGCUCCUUCAGGUACUGUUCAGAUGAGAAGUUCAGAUUUAACAGCUCCUAACACAUCCUUAAAGGCUCUGCAACAAAGCUGGAGACACCAAGGAAAGAGUAGAAGUACUGCAGGCCACUGCAGGCCUUUUGAUGAAGGACUGGGAGAAGGAUUGCCCUUGUGGAUGGAACAAGAGGUACAUGGAAAGCCCCUCGGUGUUUGCCUGGUUCUGUAAGAGGAUGUGUCAGUAGGACUGCAAGCUUGCUUGGGGAAGUGAGGACCAGCCUGAGAAAGAGCAUGGAGAUGGCUGAGGGAGAGGGAAAAGGAAGAAAGAAGCUGCUGUGAGGCUUGGAAAGUGGUUAAUGCUGUAAAGCAGGACCCACCUGAUGGAAAGGAAAGGACUCUCCUGAUGGAAAGCUGCUAUGCAUCUUUGAAGGCUUAAAGCAAGAUUAAGAGACCCAAGUUGAGGACAAAGUUACUGCAGGAAUGAUGCAGAUAAAGCCAAGGCAUGAGGGGGUCUGGUCCUGCAGAGGCAGCUGAGAAGGCUGUGUGCUGGGGAACCCACUUCUGAGAUUGGCUUAUGGGGCUGAAGGACUCUUCUUGGUUAUGCCUGAACAGCAAACAGAAGUCUGGGAAAGAGCAAAGCAAGGGUUCCCAAUUCAAGCUGCUGCCAACGAUCUACAUUCCCAAACAUCAGCUUUCAGGUAUGGAAUUACAGAGAAUUUACUUUAAAAUGGAAUAUUUUCACGUCUCAAAUCAUGUUCCACUGCAUCUCUUUAUUUCCCACACUGGGCAGAAUUCAGUUUCUAUAGGAUAAAAAAAAACCCAACAACCAGACGUAGUUUUUCUCCCCAGUGGUACUUUGCUCUUCUGACAGAUGUGUGAAUUAAAAGAAAUUAAUGCAGUCUAAUCACACC